Long non-coding RNA from Apodemus sylvaticus (European woodmouse), 691 nucleotides. RefSeq lists it as uncharacterized. Lineage: Eukaryota; Metazoa; Chordata; Mammalia; Rodentia; Muridae. The transcript has 4 exons. The record is from RefSeq and is a predicted model, not a curated record.
GAGGCAGAGGAAGGUGGAUCUCAGCACAUUUUGUGCCCUCCCCGCCUCCAAAUUGCCUCAGUUACAAAUCGGAAGGCAGGCUUGGUGACCAGGACUGGCAAGCACAUUUUAAAGUCCCAUGCUGUGGAGUUGAUCCAUCUCAACUUGAGUCAGAAGAGGCAGAAGUGGAUGUGAGAGAAAGAGACACACAGAGAGACAGAGAGCCAAAGAGGGCAAGAGACUUGACUUUAAGAGACUCCUGUACUGACAACUCCAUGCAGUUCGGAGCCAGAACGACUGCGGCUGGACCAGGGUUCAUGGGGACAUGGCAAAAUGCUGAUACUAACCUCUUAUUCAGAAUGUCCCAACAGGCCUGUCACCCUGGCUACUAAAGAAUCCUCAGACUUCAGUGGUUGGCUUACCAACUGCAGUCUUCAGUUUGGUAUUUAGUGCCAAGAAGGAAAGUGAUCAUUUCACAUCCAUUGAUUGGUUCUCGAUUCCAGGCUGCACUGUAAAUGUAUGUAUAUAAUAACUAAUUUGAUUCUUAUGAUAGUCUAAUGGAAUCAGGAAGUGUUCUAUCUUGAUUCUCCAGAUCUAGAAAACUAGCUUUUAACUUGGCAGUGUCUUCAUGGAAAGUUACUCAGUAGCAAUAUUCAGUACCAGUUCCCUAAAGAAACAAAGUUAUUAAGGAGUGCUAUGCUUUUUGUUCCAG